AAAUUCCUCAACCACAUGUGAUGUGGCUUGGAUAUUGGGGGUUUGCAGGCCUUGAAAAGAGGUCUGCUCCCCUGAAAUGUAUUAGCGGUAUCUGCUACUACAGGUGUGAUAAUUUAUCUGUACCUUUAGUAUUCUGCAAAUGAUUAUGCUGCUUCUAAACAAACCGUUUUGAUAA
Molecule: unclassified non-coding RNA, 175 nt
Filed under: uncultured Inocybaceae
Lineage: Eukaryota; Fungi; Basidiomycota; Agaricomycetes; Agaricales
Description: sequence contains ITS2
Source: RNAcentral